UAAGGAAUAUUGGGCAAUGGACGCAAGUCUGACCCAGCCAUGCCGCGUGGAGGAUGAAGGUCCUCUGGAUUGUAAACUUCUUUUAUCUGGGAAGAAACCCAUAUUUUCUAGUAUGGUUGACGGUACCAGACGAAUAAGCACCGGCUAACUCCGUGCCAGCAGCCGCGGUAAUACGGAGGGUGCAAGCGUUAUCCGGAUUCACUGGGUUUAAAGGGUGCGUAGGUGGAUUGGUAAGUCCGUGGUGAAAUCCCCGAGCUUAACUUGGGAACUGCCAUGGAUACUAUUAAUCUUGAAUGUCGUGGAGAUGAGCGGAAUAUGUCAUGUAGCGGUGAAAUGCUUAGAUAUGACAUAGAACACCAAUUGCGAAGGCAGCUCGUUACGCGAAUAUUGACACUGAUGCACGAAAGCGUGGGGAUCAAA
This 420-nucleotide ribosomal RNA is filed under the name uncultured bacterium. RNAcentral describes it as "bacterial SSU rRNA". It matches the Rfam family "Bacterial small subunit ribosomal RNA", at positions 355 to 772 of the family's 1533-position model. The record is from RNAcentral.